This 678-nucleotide ribosomal RNA is filed under the name uncultured Candidatus Saccharibacteria bacterium. Its description in RNAcentral is "bacterial SSU rRNA". It matches the Rfam family "Bacterial small subunit ribosomal RNA", at positions 778 to 1482 of the family's 1533-position model. The record is from RNAcentral. Lineage: Bacteria; Candidatus Saccharimonadota.
UUAGAUACCCGGGUAGUCCACGCCGUAAACGAUGGAUACUGGCUGUGGANGGUAUCGACCCCUNCAGUAGCGAAGCUAACGCGUUAAGUAUCCCGCCUGUGGAGUACGGUCGCAAGACUAAAACAUAAAGGAAUUGACGGGGACCCGCACAAGCGGUGGAUCGUGUUCUUUAAUUCGAUGCUAAACGAAGAACCUUACCAGGGCUUGACAUCCAGGGAAUUUUUGGGAAACCAAUUAGUGCCUUUUGGAACCCUGUGACAGGUGAUGCAUGGCCGUCGUCAGCUCGUGUCGUGAGAUGUUUGGUUAAGUCCAUCAACGAGCGGCAACCCUUGCAACUAGUUGGAUUUUUCUAGUUGGACUGCUUCGGUAACGGAGAGGAAGGAGGGGAUGAUGUCAGGUCAGUAUUUCCCUUACGUCCUGGGCUAGAAACACGAUACAAUGGCUAGUACAAUGCGCAGGCAAAGCCGCGAGGUGGAGCAAAUCGGCAUCAAAGCUAGUCCCAGUUCGGAUUGGAGGCUGAAACUCGCCUCCAUGAAGUCGGAAUCGCUAGUAAUCGCAGAUCAGCAAGCUGCGGUGAAUACGUUCCCGGGUCUUGUACACACCGCCCGUCAAACCAUGAAAGUGACCAACACCCGAAGUCCGAUUCGUCGGCCUAAGGUGGGGGGCAUGAUUGGGGUU